AUUGGGCCCCAUGCUGGGCAUGAAGCCUACUUAAAAGUCUCAAAUAAACAUAAAAACAGUAUUUUUGUUAUAUUUUAUAAUACAUUCAAAGAUUUUCUUAAGAUAGAAAAACUGAGGGGCAGGGGGAAGUAGGGACAAAAGGAAGUGGAAAAAGACACAGUGGAGUGCUAGAUACACCCAUGACUUGCAUGGAGUAACAGCCCCAUAGUGUCGCUUUUUACAACACAAAAGGGCGGUUAUCUUUUCACAAUGAUAAGCAGAAAUGUGGGCAAAACUUCUCCUGGGAGCUCGUGAUGUUGAGGAUAAAAUUUGGGGUAGGAAUGAGAGUUCUCUUAGCUGUGGCUGAAAAUGAGGGAGAUCAUUUCCUUUGAUGUUGUAAUGUUUAACUUUGAGAACUAAGCUACUGCUCUGGAUUCAGCUCCUUCUUUAUAAUAAUGGGCAAUGACGACUGAUGAGCACAUAGAAUACGAAGAGUAAGAGAAAGCAUGGCAAGAGAAAACCAGAGUGGUGGCUUUUUAACACAUUAGGAUCAUCCAGGAAGCUGUAAACCUGUCCAGCCCAGCCCUGACCCCAAACCUCUCGAGCCGCCACGGCUGGGACCCUGGCAGCAGAUCAGGACUUAAGAGUCUACAGGUGUGGCCAAUGUGUGGCCAGUUUGAGAACACUGGUCCAAAAGAUCUGUCCCAAAAGGCUGAUAUAGGAAAGGAAAAUACACCAAAAUAACUGAAAUGAGAUUGGGGGAGGGCCACGCAAAGUCUUCUCCUGGAAGAGAGACUGAGAACAAAAGAUAGAGAUGAUUCAGGAGGUGAGAACGCAGGAGGGUGGCAGCUGAAGAUGCCGUCUCUCUGAUUCAACUUCCAAAAGCAAAGACAGAGGGGAGAACCCGGGGAUUUUGCUGGAAAGUUGAGUGUAAGAACAUCUUCCCCCUUUGCCUUAAUUAACCUUUAUUCCAAUGCAGCACUUUGAGGGCUGGGAGAAGGGUGCUAAAUCCUCCGAUUCAUUUGGUGCUGGGCCUCACACAGCAGCAGUGUAGGAGGAAUUCUCACCGGAGGGAACACUUGCUCUUAUGUAGGACUCUUAAGGUUUCCCUCCUCCAAAGAAGCCAACGGUUCUGACAAUGGACAGACCAGCCAUACAAGAACAGCCGCCUCACCAGUGGAGGUGACCAGCCAGGCCAGCAGGAAGCUGGUGAUGGUGAGUGGGUGAGGGACUCUGAGAUAAUGUGUGAUGAGAAUGAGAAAGGAAAAGAAAAUGUCAGCUUUCAAAUUCCUUCCGAGAUGGAGUCAGGAUGAGGGGUUUCUCCUUUUAUAAAUGAUCUGAAUGAAGGGAUGAAACUUCCUUUUAGAUCGAUAUUCGUACCAACAUCACUUGUUAUGGCUACACCACCCCAGGAAUCCUUAGUGUCAUGACCUCCCUCCCCACCCACUCCCAGUGGGUGUAGAAGCUCCCUGAGGGGCUAUUUCUUAUGCAGCUUUGCAGCCUUUAAGGUAUACAGUUUAGUACCUCCCCAACAUGUAGUAGAAUCUAAGUGAAAGUUGAUGGAGAAACCAAUGUGUAUGGGAAAUACCAUGGGCUAAAUUAAAUGGGUCCCCCUGAAAUGCAGUUGCCAUGUCCUGUUGCUAAGGGGCAAGCGGGGAUGCCCUUUGGGGAACCCAGGUCCAAGGGAUUUCUACUCUCCAACCUCAUUCAGAAUGGGGGCAGGGAAGAGGAGAAUGGACUAGAGAUAUCCUGGAGGUGACAUUUUAGAUCAUGACACUUGGAGACUCUCUGACAGGAAUGUGGAGGGCAAGGCAGUAAAAUGAUCUUCUCAUCCCUCAGGUCAUGGCCAACACUUUGGGGAAGCAAUUGAGGGACCACAGCACCAGGUGUCACUGCUUCCCAGAAAACUCAGUUUGUGAUCAAGUGGAUUUUAUGAUGCUGAAGUCCUUUCUGGAAGGACUUUCUGGACACUUUGAAAUUGGGUGUCCGAGUGGUCUUGAGAACUGGAUUUUUCUAUUGGUGAGAGAGCUCUUGUUUCCUCCAAAGCAGUAGGCCGUGAGUAAGCUCUUGGAACCCCCCUGAAGCCUUGGAAAACUUGCCAUCUUCUGAACAAAAGCACCUUGUACAUACCCUUAGGAAGUAGUUACAUGGAAGUUUAUGCUCAAUCUCACUUUGUUUUGCCUGCAGCAUAUAAAAAGUUUCCAGUGUGCAUCUCCCGUGCUCUGAUGUUGUGGAUUAAUCACAUUCUGAGGUAGAGCCUAGAGCCUGGCCCUGCCUGAACUUUCAGUGAGAAGAUGCAGAUAUAUUGGUCAGGACAAUUAUGGAGAUAGGUCAGGGCAUUAGAGGCUUUGGCUGCAGGCACUGGUGAUUAGGUUAGAGCCCGUUGGACAAAUGGAUUAGUGUUGGCUGAUUGGGCUCCCUUGGACAAAGGGAAAGAAAAGACUACUUUAAUCAAGACUAAGCCACAUCUCCCAGGCAGUCAGCCAUCGUCAGUGCCUAAGAAUGUUCCAGGAUGCAAGGCCUGGCUGGUGUCUGUUAGAUGGGACUCUGCACCUGCACCGGUCGGGAAUACAGUCAAAAGAUGGAAGCCUGGGAGGAAAAAAUCUAGGUCAACUUCUGUUGAUUCCCUAACAUUCUAGUUUCAUGACUUAAAAUGUACUUCUCAUUGGUCCAAAUAACUACUGGACCCCAAGUUUAUGAAUAUAAGCACAUUCAAGCAAAGUGGCUCCCAAGGAAUAUAUAGUUAGUCCAAGACUUGGACUAUAUUUGCAUUGACCUUGGCUUCUUACUUCUUUAUCAGCUCCUAGGUCUAUCUGAUUGGGUCUUGCCAUUUGUCAAUUCUGAGUAAUAAAGCUUCUAGAUGAGCUCCUGGGCUGCAGUAUGUUGAUUUUCCUGCCAUGGUUUCCUUCUCCUUGUGCCUUCUGGAAAAGAAGACCUGGUCUGAGUUCCCUGGGUGUUUCUUUGCUGGAAACAUUUGGAACCUUUGAGAAUCAGUCAAUAUUUAUUCCUUCUGGCUGGGGAAAUCAGGGAGGGCGAACUGAUCUCUGUAUUUAAGAAGAGGUAGCAUUUAGGCCAAAUUUCUCAAGUCUGAGUGCACCUGAGACUUGCAUGGGUGGGGGCGAAGGGGAUUGGCAGGGUUAAAAAUUAUUAGUACCUGGGCUCAACCUAGAUAUUUCUCAUUCAGUUGUUUGGUAUGAGGCUCAGGCCUCAACAGUGUUCCUAAAGUUCCUUGGGUGAUAUUAAUGUGUGACCAGAGUUGAGACUCCGAUUUCAGGUUCUCAGCUGAAAGGAAAUUUGUAGGUGGGUGUAGGUAUCCCAUCUCUCUGAUUAGAUUAUAAGCCCCUAGAGAGUGAGGACAAUGUCCUUUGUUUUGGCAUCUUCUCCCUCAGCGUUUAAUAGUGUGCAAUACGCACUGGGUUCUCAGUAGGUAUUUAAAUAUGAAUUCUUGGGUGCAUGGACAAAACAUUCCCGGAGAAACCUCAUCCUGUUGAGGCAGUGGCUACUAUUUUAAACACACUGCAAUCCGGAGGCCCUUUUAGGGAAGUCUGGGCCAGCUGGACCUGUCACAGUUACACUCAGCACCAACCUAAGCUGCUUAAGAAAUGUCUAGACGGAGAAAUCCUCCAGACAAUGAAAAGUAGAAGGUGUCUAGGGUAUUCUUUCUGCCUUGCCUUGUCUUGCUUUGCUUUGCUUUCUACAGGGAGGUGGGGAGGGGGAGAUGGUCAAGUAUCUGAUAAGGCAUCUCUGUUUCCCUUAUCUUAAACAUACAGUUUCUGUAACUUGCUGGAACCCAUUCUUUCAUUAUCAAGUUUUCCUUGGAAACUUAGACGAGGGGCCCCUGGAUGGCUCAGUGGGUUAUUCAUCUGACUCUUAACCACAGCUCAGGUCAUAAUCUCAGGGUCAUGAGUUCAGGCCUGCAUCAGGCUCCACACUGGGCAUGAAGCCCACUUAAAAAAAAAAAAAAAAGAAACAAGGGAAAAAUUAGACAAUAGAGUCGCUUGUCUAAGUACAUCUGGAAGGAGCCUCUGCGGUUAUCCCUUGAUACACUAUUAUGAUUCAAGUGCCUGUAGGCCUGAGCACUUCAUUCUCAUAAAGAAGGAAACUGAGAAAAGCAUGACAAAACAGAGAGGGAAGCAAGAAGAGAAAGCCAAGAGAGGGUGAGAAUGGAGUUUAGAAUGAGCCCCGGCAUAACAGCCACCUUUGCUACAUAACACAAUGGUCUAUGGAUUCUAUUUCAAAAAUCGACCUAAAAGCACAGAAGAGCAUUUUGGAUUUUCAAAAGUAGCAUACACAACAAGGAGGGAUUGCGGAUCAAUAAGAGACUAGAUGGAGCCUCACAAUUAAAUGCUUUCUAUACCGUGAAGAGCAGAUUUCUUCCGUUCCCUUUGUUCCUUUCUCUCUCUCCUCUCCUUCCCAUAAACACUCAUUGAGCUAAGAAUAAAAGCUCACAGUCUUCACAUUCCCUCAAAGAGGUCAUGAUUUCCUAGGGCAAAUAGGGCAUGCAACAGCUCUGACAAACGGUGGAACAUGAGACAUGCCCAAGCGAAGGAACGUGGGAAAGGAGGGGCUAUGCUCCCACAAAGCUGUUCCCAUUAGAAAAUGAGCCCCCAAGGCAGCCCAGCUUGGUGAACUCAGCCAAGAGAGAGUGGGCCUGGCCCAGCCCAGCUCUCAGAACGCAAGCAUGACACCCAAGAGGAAGGUCAGCGAGAUUGUCAUCUAAACCUCCUCCUGUAAAAGUGGAAACAAAGCUAAAAAAGGAGGCAGGAAAGUAUAAAUCUUCAGACAAAAAAGUGCAAACAGGGAAAAGUGGAGCAAAGGGAAAACGGGCUGAAGUGGCUAACCAAAAA
Leopardus geoffroyi (Geoffroy's cat) is the source of this 4826-nucleotide long non-coding RNA. RefSeq lists it as uncharacterized. NCBI's taxonomy places the organism in Eukaryota, Metazoa, Chordata, Mammalia, Carnivora, Felidae. The transcript is spliced from 2 exons. The record is from RefSeq and is a predicted model, not a curated record.